RNAcentral lists this transfer RNA (58 nucleotides) under Dipodomys ordii (Ord's kangaroo rat). It matches the Rfam family "tRNA", at positions 8 to 63 of the family's 71-position model. Rfam says of the family: Transfer RNA (tRNA) molecules are approximately 80 nucleotides in length. Their secondary structure includes four short double-helical elements and three loops (D, anti-codon, and T loops). Lineage: Eukaryota; Metazoa; Chordata; Mammalia; Rodentia; Heteromyidae. The record is from Rfam by way of RNAcentral.
UGGCUCAGUGGUAAGAGUGCUUGCCUUGCAUGCAUGAGGCCUGGGUUCGAUAUCUCAG